ACUGUUCCGGAACAUUCCGUACAUUGGUAAUACGAAUCGAACUUUCUGUGAAUAUUUAGCGUUAGCUGGGAUAUAUCACAUUCAA
Long non-coding RNA from Mycetomoellerius zeteki, 85 nucleotides. RefSeq lists it as uncharacterized. Lineage: Eukaryota; Metazoa; Arthropoda; Insecta; Hymenoptera; Formicidae. The transcript has 3 exons. The record is from RefSeq and is a predicted model, not a curated record.